AGUGAACGCUGGCGGUAGGCCUAACACAUGCAAGUCGAACGGCAGCACAGUAAGAGCUUGCUCUUCCGGGUGGCGAGUGGCGGACGGGUUAGGAAUACAUCGGAAUCUACUUUUUCGUGGGUUAUAACGUAGGUAAACUUACGCUCAUACCGCAUACGCCCUACGGGUGAAAUCCGGGUAUCUUCGGACCUUGCGCGAUUGAAUGCGCCGAUGUCGGAUUAGCUAGUUGGCGGGGUAACGGCCCACCAAGGCGACGAUCCGUAGCUGGUCUGAGCGGAUGAUAAGCCACACUGGAACUGAGACACGGUCCAGACGCCUACGGGAGGCAGCAGUGGGGAAUAUUGGACAAUGGGCGCAAGCCUGAUCCAGCCAUACCGCGUGAGUGAAGAAGGCCUUCGGGUUGUAAAGCCCUUUUGUGGGGAAAGAAAAGCAGCAGGAUAAUACCCCGCUGUUCUGACGGUACCCAAAGAAGAAGCACCGGCUAACUUCGUG
RNAcentral lists this ribosomal RNA (492 nucleotides) under uncultured bacterium. Its description in RNAcentral is "partial 16S ribosomal RNA". It matches the Rfam family "Bacterial small subunit ribosomal RNA", at positions 29 to 507 of the family's 1533-position model. The record is from RNAcentral.